AUGUCUGGGUGAACAUGCUUUCCAAAGAGAGGUUCUCCCUCAGGAGAACGAGUCGUGUUCAUGGGAAACUCAAUCCGGGUGUGAAGUGAGAGAGCCAUGUAAUCAUGCCAACGUGCUGACCAAGCCCGAUCCAAGAACCUUCUGGACUAAUGAUGAUCCAGACAUUGACAACAUUGCCAAGAUGGAGAUGGGUAAGUUGAGAAAGAUCUGUUUGUUUCUUGCUAUGUAGAUUCUCAUUCCUC
RNAcentral lists this small RNA (242 nucleotides) under Pongo abelii (Sumatran orangutan). RNAcentral's name for it is "processed transcript". Lineage: Eukaryota; Metazoa; Chordata; Mammalia; Primates; Hominidae. The record is from RNAcentral.